RNAcentral lists this ribosomal RNA (429 nucleotides) under Verrucomicrobiota bacterium. RNAcentral's name for it is "Verrucomicrobia bacterium partial 16S ribosomal RNA". It matches the Rfam family "Bacterial small subunit ribosomal RNA", at positions 355 to 776 of the family's 1533-position model. The record is from RNAcentral. Lineage: Bacteria; Pseudomonadati; Verrucomicrobiota.
UAGGGAAUCUUCCGCAAUGGACGAAAGUCUGACGGAGCAACGCCGCGUGAGUGAAGAAGGAUUUCGGUUCGUAAAACUCUGUUGUUAGGGAAGAAAAAAUGUAUAGUAACUAUAUACAAAAGAGACGGUACCUAACCAGAAAGCCACGGCUAACUACGUGCCAGCAGCCGCGGUAAUACGUAGGCGGCAAGCGUUGUCCGGAAUUAUUGGGCGUAAAGCGCGCGCAGGUGGUUUAGAAAGUCUGAUGUGAAAGCCCACGGCUCAACCGUGGAGGGUCAUUGGAAACUAAUAAACUUGAGUGCAGGAGAGAAAAGUGGAAUUCCUAGUGUAGCGGUGAAAUGCGUAGAGAUUAGGAGGAACACCGGUGGCGAAAGCGGCUUUUUGGCCUGCAACUGACACUGAGGCGCGAAAGCGUGGGGAGCAAACAGG